This 253-nucleotide ribosomal RNA is filed under the name uncultured bacterium. Its description in RNAcentral is "partial 16S ribosomal RNA". It matches the Rfam family "Bacterial small subunit ribosomal RNA", at positions 524 to 776 of the family's 1533-position model. The record is from RNAcentral.
UACAGAGGCCUCGAGCGUUGUUCGGAAUUACUGGGCGUAAAGAGAAUGUAGGUGGUGACGUAAGUCAGAUGUGAAAGCCCUGGGCUUAACCUGGGAAGUGCAUUUGAUACUGCGUUGCUAGAGUACGAGAGAGGAAAGCGGAAUUCCCAGUGUAGGAGUGAAAUCCGUAGAUAUUGGGAGGAAUACCGAUGGCGAAGGCAGCUUUCUGGUUCGUAACUGACACUGAGAUUCGAAAGCGUGGGUAGCAAACAGG